Molecule: ribosomal RNA, 404 nt
Filed under: uncultured bacterium
Lineage: Bacteria
Description: partial 16S ribosomal RNA
Rfam family: Bacterial small subunit ribosomal RNA
Source: RNAcentral
AUUGAACGCUGGCGGCAGGCCUAACACAUGCAAGUCGAGCGAGCGGCGGACGGGUGAGUAAUGCCUGGGAAUUGCCCAUUCGAGUGGGAUAACAGUUGGAAACGACUGCUAAUACCCCAUACGAUUGGAUUCCCCAGGUGGGAUUAGCUAGUUGGGGAGGUAAUGGCUCACCAAGGCGACGAUCCCUAGCUGGUCUGAGAGGAUGAUGAGGCAAGCGGGAAAUGAGAAUAGGAGACGGCUCGUACGGGAAGGAGCAGGGGGGAAUAUUGCAGAAUGGGUGAAGACCAGAUGCAGGCCUGCCGCGUGUGGUAAGAGGGAAAUAGGGUUGUAAAGCACUUUUAGCGAGGAGGCGUUACAUGUAGAAGAAGAACCGGCUGACUCCGUGCCAGCAGCCGCGGUAAUUC